AACGGCGAGUGAAGCGGCAACAGCUCAAAUUUGAAAGCUAGCCUUCGGGUUCGCAUUGUAAUUUGUAGAGGAUGAUUUGGGGAAGCCGCCUGUCUAAGUUCCUUGGAACAGGACGUCAUAGAGGGUGAGAAUCCCGUAUGUGACAGGAAAUGGCACCCUAUGUAAAUCUCCUUCGACGAGUCGAGUUGUUUGGGAAUGCAGCUCUAAAUGGGAGGUAAAUUUCUUCUAAAGCUAAAUAUUGGCGAGAGACCGAUAGCGCACAAGUAGAGUGAUCGAAAGAUGAAAAGCACUUUGGAAAGAGAGUUAAAAAGCACGUGAAAUUGUUGAAAGGGAAGCGCUUGCAAUCAGACUUGUUUAAACUGUUCGGCCGGUCUUCUGACCGGUUUACUCAGUUUGGACAGGCCAGCAUCAGUUUCGGCGGCCGGAUAAAGGCUCUGGGAAUGUGGCCUCCACUUCGGUGGAGGUGUUAUAGCCCAGGGUGUAAUACGGCCAGCCGGGACUGAGGUCCGCGCUUCGGCUAGGAUGCUGGCGUAAUGGUUGUAAGCGACCCGUCUUGAAACACGGACCAAGGAGUCUAACAUCUAUGCGAGUGUUCGGGUGUCAAA
RNAcentral lists this ribosomal RNA (605 nucleotides) under Aureobasidium sp. YS DN18. RNAcentral's name for it is "eukaryotic LSU rRNA". It matches the Rfam family "Eukaryotic large subunit ribosomal RNA", at positions 85 to 706 of the family's 3401-position model. The record is from RNAcentral. Lineage: Eukaryota; Fungi; Ascomycota; Dothideomycetes; Dothideales; Saccotheciaceae.